AUAUAUUUUAAGAAAUCCUUUUCUAUUUGUCAACACCCUACACCAGCAAAAGUUUCUAUUCCGUUUAAAAUUUGAUACUUUGUCUUGAUUUAACUGUAUUUUUAUGUUAUUCAAUUUGCCUAUCCACUUUUUACCAAAACGUCACCCAUCCCUUAGUAACACAUGCCAAUAUCGCAUCAUAGGUACAUCUUAUCAACAAAGCAGCUAUCAUAUUCGAAUAUUAAAUAAGAAUAAAAAAUAAGUUAAUGAGCGACAUGCAGUUCAUAAAUUGAAUUCGUAUGUUACUGUAAACGAAUGGUAUGUUGUUAAUAAUAAGU
Molecule: long non-coding RNA, 317 nt
Filed under: Mytilus galloprovincialis (Mediterranean mussel)
Lineage: Eukaryota; Metazoa; Mollusca; Bivalvia; Mytilida; Mytilidae
Source: RNAcentral